GACGAACGCUGGCGGCGUGCCUAAUACAUGCAAGUCGAGCGAAGCGGGGACGGGUGAGUAACACGUGGAUAACCUCCUAUAAGACUGGGAUAACUUCGGGAAACCGGAGCUAAACCGAAUCCUUAUAGAUGGAUCCGCGCUGCAUUAGCUAGGUGGUAAGGUAACGGCUUACCAAGGCAACGAUGCAUAGCCCACCUGGAAGGGUGAUCGGCCCCACUGGAACUGAGACACGGUCCAGACUCCUACGGGAGGCAGCAGGAGGGAAUCUUUCGCAAUGGGCGAAAGCCUGACGGAGCCACGCCGCGGGAGUGAUGAAGGUCUUCGGAUCGUAAAACCCUUUUAUUAGGGAAGCGGUACCUAAUCAGAAAGUCACGGCUAACUACGUGCCAGCAGCCGCGGUAAUUC
Molecule: ribosomal RNA, 405 nt
Filed under: uncultured bacterium
Lineage: Bacteria
Description: partial 16S ribosomal RNA
Rfam family: Bacterial small subunit ribosomal RNA
Source: RNAcentral